This is a long non-coding RNA of Balaenoptera ricei (Rice's whale), 2402 nucleotides long. RefSeq lists it as uncharacterized. Lineage: Eukaryota; Metazoa; Chordata; Mammalia; Artiodactyla; Balaenopteridae. The transcript is spliced from 4 exons. The record is from RefSeq and is a predicted model, not a curated record.
CUCACAGCUUUAGCUCAGCAUGUUGUUUCUGCACUUACUGUCUUUCAGGAAAAGUUUUUUAAAAACUUUCCUCCUCGGCCGUCUCAGACUCAGACUCCACAAUCCACAUUCCCACAGGAGAAAAACAACUGGUUAGCGGCCUCUUGUCCUCAGCAUGGAAGUCAGUGUCUACCUAGCACAGAAGUAUUUUUCACUAGUUCUCUUUUACUUUUAUACUAGUUUAUGGUUUGCAUGAACCUCACAGCCUUCCAAGAGGCACUGUAACAGGCAGUGCCUCUCUCAAACCUCAAGAAUUGCUGUCUUGAAAAUCUCAGUGGUAAGACUUUGUGGGGAAAAGAUGGAAGCCUGGGGGAAUCAAGAUAUUCAGUGAACCCAUGAGAGCACUUAGAAUUUUUUUUUUUACAUUUGUAUCAGUUGGAUGCUUUCAACUGCAAGUAACAUAAAACUAACAGUGACUUAUACCUCAUGACUUUUAUUACUAAAGUGUAGAAAUAGGUGAUUCUCAGGAUUGGUUGGCAGCUUAACCCUUCAUCUUUCCACUCUUACCUUCCUCUGUGUGUUAGCUCCCAACUUCACCCUUGGGAUUGCCUGAUCACAACGUGGCUGCCACAACUCCAGGCAUCACAUCCUCGCGCAGCAGCAUCCAAAGCAAAAAGAGAUGCACAAAAAGGGCUCUUCUCAUAUGUCUCUCUCUUUUUAAUCAGGGAGAAAGCUCUUCCACCCUUCCCACAGAAGUCUUCAUGUCUCAUAGGCCAGGACUAGGUCACAUGAUAGCAAGACAGGUUGCAAAAGGGAAUGUUUAGCUUUUUCAGCCCCUCUGGUAGGAGGCGGGCAAGGAAGAAGGAGUCUGGAAAUGGUUGUUGGUUGGCAUUCAACAGUGUUGUUUAUGAUGUUCGUGAAAAUAAAACACAGGCUACAGACUAAACAGCUAUACGACUAGCUUGAUCUGAAAUUCGAGGGGUUGCAGGAAGUGCAAAAAGUGAGUCUACAUUUGGUAGACUUCGAGGUCGGGAAGGGAUGUCAGGGGCACAGUCGGUGGCCCUCAGGCUUGUUCAGGGUGGGUGGACCUAGAAGGCAUCAUGUUCUCUACUGAACAAUAUGUUCUUUUUGAAAUGCUGCAAAUUACUGACGUAUCUAAUUGCUUCCUACAACACAGGAGAGGUGUACCUGCAGAAAGUCUGCUUCUGAUGCAUGUAUGCAAUUAAAUCAAAAGGUCAGGGGUUCAUGGAAAAAGAAUGUAGCUGUUGAAUCAAGCAUGGCCAGUGAGAUUUGGGUUUUCUGCAUUAAUAUUUAUGUGAAUACCUUUGCUUGGCUAUGAACACCAGCAAGUGGUAGGAGGCAAAUCAGUAGCAAGUCCACAAAGUUUAAGAAAACUCUAAGAGAAAAAGUGAAAGAUGGAGAAAAGUCUAUUAACUUCUUCCUGCCAAUUAAUAAAACCAUGAUUAUUUUGUUUGGACAGCACAAUAUCUUGGUCUGGUUGCUAAAGACCAGUUUUUACAGGCAGAUAGUUUCACAACCACUAAUAUGAUGAGUCAGGAGUCCUGGGCUGAGCCCCCUUACCAGCCUUACCGCUUGCUUCACUCUUGGGAAGGCAUUUAACCUUGCCAAUCCUCAGUGCCAUAUUUCUAAAAUAACAACAAUAAUAAUGAUAAUGGGAAUAAUUAUAGAGCAUUUGUUUACUGUCUUACAGCCACAGUUCUAAAGCCUUUACAUGCUCACUAAAUCUUCAUCGCAUCCCUAGGAAGUACGUACUAUAAUGAUCUCUGUUUUACAGAUGAGGAAAUCAAGGCAGAGAAAGUUGAAAUAACUUGCCCGAGAGUACCCAGCUACCAAGUGGUGACUCCAGAUUCAAACCCAAGGAUCCUGACUCCAAAGAAUAGAGACCCUACCCAACUGAGAGCACUUGACCCGUAACUCUGGUUCUAAAGCACUUCAGUCUUGGAAUGCGGGCACCCCAGGACCCAGGACUCAUGGAACGAUAAAAUCAGAUGAUGGCUCUGACUUCAGAAGUUGUGGUAACCUUACUGUGUAUUUUCAUAUUCUCUGUGCUGAACGGAUGACCCACUUCCAAACCAAGAGCACAAAUUACAGAUGAACAUCCCAACUGCAUUUCAUUUUCCAGCCUCACUAGACUGGAGUCCAUGAAAAUAAAGAGUGUCAACACAGCACCUCUCACAGACGCCACUCUGUGAGGCUGACGUCAUUGACUGCUGUCCAAGGGCGGAAGCUGGAGCACAGGGAAGGGAGUGCCUUCCCGAGUGUGUUCCACUGUAAGUGACAGAGCUGGGAUGCUGCAAACCCAGGCUAUCCUGGUCCAAAUGCGAACUUCUUUUCCUAUAGCGGUGACACUGACUUCCAGUGCCUCUUUGAGGCUGAAGAUCAAGGUGUGCUCAUAGUUUGGA